UACGUAGGGGGCAAGCGUUAUCCGGAUUUACUGGGUGUAAAGGGGGCGCAGACGGCGAUGCAAGCCAGGAGUGAAAGCCCGGGGCCCAACCCCGGGACUGCUCUUGGAACUGCGUGGCUGGAGUGCAGGAGGGGCAGGCGGAAUUCCUGGUGUAGCGGUGAAAUGCGUAGAUAUCAGGAGGAACACCGGUGGCGAAGGCGGCCUGCUGGACUGCAACUGACGUCGAGGCCCGAAAGCGUGGGGAGCAAACAGG
RNAcentral lists this ribosomal RNA (253 nucleotides) under uncultured bacterium. Its description in RNAcentral is "partial 16S ribosomal RNA". It matches the Rfam family "Bacterial small subunit ribosomal RNA", at positions 524 to 776 of the family's 1533-position model. The record is from RNAcentral.